Molecule: transfer RNA, 71 nt
Filed under: Amblychaeturichthys hexanema
Lineage: Eukaryota; Metazoa; Chordata; Actinopteri; Gobiiformes; Gobiidae
Description: tRNA-Ser
Rfam family: tRNA
About the family: Transfer RNA (tRNA) molecules are approximately 80 nucleotides in length.
Source: RNAcentral
AAGAAAGUGGCAGAGCGGUUAUGUGGUUGGCUUGAAACCAGCUUACGGGGGCUCAAUUCCCUCCUUUCUCG